UACGAAGGGGGCUAGCGUUGCUCGGAAUUACUGGGCGUAAAGGGCGCGUAGGCGGCACUGUUAGUCAGGCGUGAAAGUCCUGGGCUCAACCUGGGAACUGCGCUUGAUACGGCCGAGCUAGAGGAUGGAAGAGGCUCGCGGAAUUCCCAGUGUAGAGGUGAAAUUCGUAGAUAUUGGGAAGAACACCGGUGGCGAAGGCGGCGAGCUGGUCCAUUACUGACGCUGAGGCGCGACAGCGUGGGGAGCAAACAGG
This 253-nucleotide ribosomal RNA is filed under the name uncultured bacterium. RNAcentral's name for it is "partial 16S ribosomal RNA". It matches the Rfam family "Bacterial small subunit ribosomal RNA", at positions 524 to 776 of the family's 1533-position model. The record is from RNAcentral.